GCCGGGCAGCGACGACGUCCCGAUCAAGCCCCUUCAGCUGUUGGUUCAAGCGAGCAUCGCCUUGGCCGACGUCGGAUUCCUGUGCUGAAUUCCUAACGGAUGGCAAUCUCUAGUCCCACCAACGUCCCGUACUCCUCCCCUCGUCGCGGCUCCGCAAGGACACGCGGCGCGGGGAGGACAUCAAAGCCCCCGUCGUGUCUCGCAGCCCUCGCGCCCGCCCAGCACGGGCGCGCCCGGGCCUGCCGACCCACGACGUCGCGCUCGAUCUCUCGGAUGCGGAAAACCAAGCGGCCACGAGGCCACGGCCUCCGAUGCCCCUCACAAGAGCGCCCGACGCUCCCUGCGGACGACUGCCGGCCGGGUCUUGGCCCGGAGCCCCAGCGGCUCCCGGAUCAUGCCCGUCCGGCGUCGACGAGGAAUGCUACCUGGUUGAUCCUGCCAGUAGUCA
Molecule: unclassified non-coding RNA, 448 nt
Filed under: Stachys pubescens
Lineage: Eukaryota; Viridiplantae; Streptophyta; Magnoliopsida; Lamiales; Lamiaceae
Description: partial contains external transcribed spacer and small subunit ribosomal RNA
Source: RNAcentral